GCUUACGGCCAUACCACGUUGAAAGCACCGGUUCUCGUCCGAUCACCGAAGUUAAGCAACGUCGGGCCUGGUUAGUACUUGGAUGGGUGACCGCCUGGGAAUACCAGGUGCCGUAAGCU
This 119-nucleotide ribosomal RNA is filed under the name Ketobacter sp. Lineage: Bacteria; Pseudomonadati; Pseudomonadota; Gammaproteobacteria; Pseudomonadales; Ketobacteraceae. The record is from RNAcentral.